Amblyraja radiata (thorny skate) is the source of this 189-nucleotide long non-coding RNA. RefSeq lists it as uncharacterized. The transcript has 2 exons. NCBI's taxonomy places the organism in Eukaryota, Metazoa, Chordata, Chondrichthyes, Rajiformes, Rajidae. The record is from RefSeq and is a predicted model, not a curated record.
UACUCCGCUGCAGGCCAGUUUUACCAUGGAGUGAAUGCUGAGGUAUAUGACAUUCGCCCCAGCUUAGAUCAAGGCAAACCUCAUGCGACAAUGGAUGUGAAAGGUCACAAACUCAGGGUGACAAGGGGGUCCCAGAAAGAUUACAGACUCAAUCUGAAACAAGGUACCAACGUUUCGUGCUGGUUUGUU